UAGUUAAUAGCUGCAUUAUUUGACGUUAGCGACAGAAGAAGCACCGGCUAACUCCGUGCCAGCAGCCGCGGUAAUACGGAGGGUGCGAGCGUUAAUCGGAAUUACUGGGCGUAAAGCGCAUGCAGGUGGUUUGUUAAGUCAGAUGUGAAAGCCCGGGGCUCAACCUCGGAAUAGCAUUUGAAACUGGCAGACUAGAGUACUGUAGAGGGGGGUAGAAUUUCAGGUGUAGCGGUGAAAUGCGUAGAGAUCUGAAGGAAUACCGGUGGCGAAGGCGGCCCCCUGGACAGAUACUGACACUCAGAUGCGAAAGCGUGGGGAGCAAACAGGAUUAGAUACCCUGGUAGUCCACGCCGUAAACGAUGUCUACUUGGAGGUUGUGGCCUUGAGCCGUGGCUUUCGGAGCUAACGCGUUAAGUAGACCGCCUGGGGAGUACGGUCGCAAGAUUAAAACUCAAAUGAAUUGACGGGGGCCCGCACAAGCGGUGGAGCAUGUGGUUUAAUUCGAUGCAACGCGAAGAACCUUACCUACUCUUGACAUCCAGAGAACUUUCCAGAGAUGGAUUGGUGCCUUCGGGAACUCUGAGACAG
This 588-nucleotide ribosomal RNA is filed under the name Vibrio sp. Its description in RNAcentral is "bacterial SSU rRNA". It matches the Rfam family "Bacterial small subunit ribosomal RNA", at positions 450 to 1037 of the family's 1533-position model. The record is from RNAcentral. Lineage: Bacteria; Pseudomonadati; Pseudomonadota; Gammaproteobacteria; Vibrionales; Vibrionaceae.